GACGAACGCUGGCGGCGUGCUUAACACAUGCAAGUCGAACGGAAAGGCCCUGCUUUUGUGGGGUGCUCGAGUGGCGAACGGGUGAGUAACACGUGAGUAACCUGCCCUUGACUUUGGGAUAACUUCAGGAGACUGGGGCUAAUACCGGAUAGGAGCUCCUGCUGCAUGGUGGGGGUUGGAAAGCUUCGGCGGUUGGGGGUGGACUCGCGGCUUAUCAGCUUGUUGGUGGGGUAGUGGCUUACCAAGGCUUUGACGGGUAGCCGGCCUGAGAGGGUGACCGGCCACAUUGGGACUGAGAUAGGGCCCAGACUCCUACGGGAGGCAGCAGUGGGGAAUAUUGCACAAUGGGCGGAAGCCUGAUGCAGCAACGCCGCGUGCGGGAUGACGGCAUUCGGGUUGUAAUCCGCUUUCCUCUGUGACGAAGCGUGAGUGACGGUAAUGGGCAAAGAAGGACCGGCUAACUACGUG
RNAcentral lists this ribosomal RNA (468 nucleotides) under uncultured bacterium. RNAcentral's name for it is "partial 16S ribosomal RNA". It matches the Rfam family "Bacterial small subunit ribosomal RNA", at positions 28 to 507 of the family's 1533-position model. The record is from RNAcentral.